AAGCAGGGUAGAGUAAUUGGUCAACUCAUUAGGCUCAUGAUCUGAGAAUUACAGGUUCUAAUCCUAUCCCCGCCUA
Molecule: transfer RNA, 76 nt
Filed under: Amborella trichopoda
Lineage: Eukaryota; Viridiplantae; Streptophyta; Magnoliopsida; Amborellales; Amborellaceae
Description: tRNA AMTR_s00098t00274990
Rfam family: tRNA
About the family: Transfer RNA (tRNA) molecules are approximately 80 nucleotides in length.
Source: RNAcentral